RNAcentral lists this ribosomal RNA (463 nucleotides) under uncultured bacterium. RNAcentral describes it as "partial 16S ribosomal RNA". It matches the Rfam family "Bacterial small subunit ribosomal RNA", at positions 339 to 795 of the family's 1533-position model. The record is from RNAcentral.
CUACGGGGGGCUGCAGUCGAGGAUCUUUCGCAAUGCCCGCAAGGGUGACGAAGCGACGCCGCGUGGGGGAAGAAGGCCUUCGGGUUGUAAACCCCUGUCAGAAGCCAGGAAAUGUAGGGUGUGAAUAGCGCCCUACUUGACUACAGCUUCAGAGGAAGCCAUGACUAACCCUGUGCCAGCAGCCGCGGUAAUACAGAGAUGGCAAGCGUUGUUCGGAAUCAUUGGGCGUAAAGAGCACGUAGGCGGCCUUGCAAGUCGGGUGUGAAAUCCCCUGGCUUACCCAGGGAACUGCGUCCGAUACUGCGGGGCUUGAGGACAGGAGGGGAGAGUGGAACUUCUGGUGGAGCGGUGAAAUGCGUAGAUAUCAGAAGGAACACCGGUGGCGAAAGCGACUCUCUGGUCUGUUUCUGACGCUGAGGUGCGAAAGCUAGGGGAGCAAACGGGAUUAGAUACCCCAGUAGUC